UACGAAGGGUGCAAGCGUUACUCGGAAUUACUGGGCGUAAAGCGUGCGUAGGUGGUUCGUUAAGUCUGAUGUGAAAGCCCUGGGCUCAACCUGGGAAUUGCAUUGGAUACUGGCGGGCUAGAGUACGGUAGAGGGUGGCGGAAUUCCCGGUGUAGCAGUGAAAUGCGUAGAGAUCGGGAGGAACAUCCGUGGCGAAGGCGGCCACCUGGACCAGUACUGACACUGAGGCACGAAAGCGUGGGGAGCAAACAGG
This 253-nucleotide unclassified non-coding RNA is filed under the name uncultured Lysobacteraceae bacterium. Its description in RNAcentral is "uncultured Xanthomonadaceae bacterium contains 16S-23S intergenic spacer region". It matches the Rfam family "Bacterial small subunit ribosomal RNA", at positions 524 to 776 of the family's 1533-position model. Lineage: Bacteria; Pseudomonadati; Pseudomonadota; Gammaproteobacteria; Lysobacterales; Lysobacteraceae. The record is from RNAcentral.